Molecule: ribosomal RNA, 774 nt
Filed under: uncultured Neocallimastigales
Lineage: Eukaryota; Fungi; Neocallimastigomycota; Neocallimastigomycetes; Neocallimastigales
Description: partial large subunit ribosomal RNA
Rfam family: Eukaryotic large subunit ribosomal RNA
Source: RNAcentral
UAUGUGAUCGUCUCUCGCAUAUCAAUAAGCGGAGGAAAAGAAACUAACAAGGAUUCCCCUAGUAACGGCGAGUGAAGCGGGAAGAGCUCAAAUUUGAAAUCUUAAAGGGUUUCCCUUUACGAAUUGUAGUUUAAAGAAGUGUUUUCUGUUGAGGUUUUGGUAAAAGUUCUUUGGAAUAGGACAUCAUAGAGGGUGAGAAUCCCGUAUUUGACCUUUACUUUCAACUUUGUGAUACACUUUCAAAGAGUCGGAUUGUUUGGGAAUGCAGUCCAAAAUGGGUGGUAAAUUUCAUCUAAAGCUAAAUAUUGGCGAGAGACCGAUAGCGAACAAGUACCGUGAGGGAAAGAUGAAAAGAACUUUGAAAAGAGAGUUAAACAGUACGUGAAAUUGUCAAAAGGGAAGCGUUUGACACCAGUGUUGUUUUUCUGAAAAUCAAUUAAAGAACUGUUUAUGCUAAGCUGUUUAGACUUUAUCAGCUAACUGUUUAGUUUUGAGCUUUUCUUUAAUGCACUUUUCAGUUAACAAGUCAACAUCAAUUUCUUUUGCUGUAAAAAAGCUUGAGGAAGGUGGCUUGAGAUUCGUCUUAAGUGUUUAUAGCCUCUUGCCUAUGCAGUCGGAGAGAUUGAGGUCUGCAGCGUAGAUCCUUCGGGGCUAAAUGCAUUUGUGCUAAGUUAUAGCAUUUUAUAGACAACUUGUUGACUAUGAUUUGUCUUGUAGCUUACUCGCUUAUGUUAUUUUACCUACGCUUAGGAUGUUGAUCUGUAGUGCGUGCGC